Molecule: transfer RNA, 72 nt
Filed under: Nippostrongylus brasiliensis
Lineage: Eukaryota; Metazoa; Nematoda; Chromadorea; Rhabditida; Heligmosomidae
Rfam family: tRNA
About the family: Transfer RNA (tRNA) molecules are approximately 80 nucleotides in length. Their secondary structure includes four short double-helical elements and three loops (D, anti-codon, and T loops). Further hydrogen bonds mediate the characteristic L-shaped molecular structure. tRNAs have two regions of fundamental functional importance: the anti-codon, which is responsible for specific mRNA codon recognition, and the 3' end, to which the tRNAs corresponding amino acid is attached (by aminoacyl-tRNA synthetases). tRNAs cope with the degeneracy of the genetic code in two manners: having more than one tRNA (with a specific anti-codon) for a particular amino acid; and 'wobble' base-pairing, i.e. permitting non-standard base-pairing at the 3rd anti-codon position.
Source: Rfam by way of RNAcentral
GUCUCAGUAGCAUCGUGGUUAGUGCACAGCCCCGGAUAGGUUGAGACGCGGGUUCGAAUCUCGGCUGAGGUG